UUAAAGGAANUNGNGGGGGAGCCCCNCAAGGGGNGNAANCNUGCGGUUCCAAUUGGAUUCAACNCCAAAAAUUUUUNCCCGGAGAGACAGCAGAAUGAAGGUUCAAGNUGAAGACUUUACCAGACAAGNUGAGAGGUGGUGCAUGGCCGUCGCCAGCUCGUGCCGUGAGAUGUCCUGUUAAGUCAGGUAACGAGCGAGAUCCCCUGCCUCUAGUUGCCACCCAUUACUCUCAGGAGUAGUGGGGGCGAAUUAGCGGGACCGCCGCAGUUAAUGCGGAGGAAGGAAGGGGCCACGGCAGGUCAGUAUGCCCCGAAACUCUGGGGCCACACGCGGGCUGCAAUGGUAGCGACAAUUGGUUUCGAAUCCGAAAGGAUGAGGUAAUCCACAAACGCUACCACAGUUAUGACUGAGGGCUGCAACUCGCCCUCACGAAUAUGGAAUCCCUAGUAACUGCGUGUCAUUAUCGCGCGGUGAAUACGUCCCUGCUCCUUGCACACACCGCCCGUCGUUUCAUUGAAGUGAGCUUUUAGCGAGGUGACGUCUGAUUGGCGUUAUCGAACUUGAGGUUCGUGACAAGGGAAAAGUCGUAACAAGGU
RNAcentral lists this ribosomal RNA (596 nucleotides) under uncultured archaeon. RNAcentral describes it as "partial 16S ribosomal RNA". It matches the Rfam family "Archaeal small subunit ribosomal RNA", at positions 856 to 1444 of the family's 1478-position model. The record is from RNAcentral.